GACGAACGCUGGCGGCGUGCUUAACACAUGCAAGUCGAACGGAAAGGCCCUGCUUUUGUGGGGUGCUCGAGUGGCGAACGGGUGAGUAACACGUGAGUAACCUGCCCUUGACUUUGGGAUAACUUCAGGAAACUGGGGCUAAUACCGGAUAGGAGCUCCUGCUGCAUGGUGGGGGUUGGAAAGUUUCGGCGGUUGGGGCUGGACGCGCGGCUUAUCAGCUUGUUGGUGGGGUAGUGGCUUACCAAGGCUUUGACGGGUAGCCGGCCUGAGAGGGUGACCGGCGACAUUGGGACUGAGAUACGGCCCAGACUGCUACGGGAGGCAGCAGUGGGGAAUAUUGCACAAUGGGCGGAAGCCUGAUGCAGCAACGCCGCGUGCGGGAUGACGGCCUUCGGGUUGUAAACCGCUUUCGCCUGUGACGAAGCGUGAGUGACGGUAAUGGGUAAAGAAGCACCGGCUAACUACGUG
This 468-nucleotide ribosomal RNA is filed under the name uncultured bacterium. RNAcentral describes it as "partial 16S ribosomal RNA". It matches the Rfam family "Bacterial small subunit ribosomal RNA", at positions 28 to 507 of the family's 1533-position model. The record is from RNAcentral.